UCCGAGUUGACCCCGGCAGUCUCCUAUGAGUCCCCACCAUCCCGAAGGACCCCGCAUCUCUGCGAGUUUUCCCGUGAUGUCAAACCCAGGUAAGGUUCUUCGCGUCGCAUCGAAUUAAUCCGCAUGCUCCGCCGCUUGUGCGGGCCCCCGUCAAUUCCUUUGAGUUUUAGCCUUGCGGCCGUACUCCCCAGGCGGGGCGCUUAAUGCGUUAGCUACGGCGCAGGAAACCGGAGAGGCCCCCCACACCUAGCGCCCAACGUUUACAGCGUGGACUAC
This 276-nucleotide unclassified non-coding RNA is filed under the name uncultured Actinomycetes bacterium. RNAcentral describes it as "uncultured actinobacterium contains 16S-23S intergenic spacer region". The record is from RNAcentral. Lineage: Bacteria; Bacillati; Actinomycetota; Actinomycetes.